GACGGACGCUGGCGGCGUGCCUAACACAUGCAAGUUGAGCGACGAACCAGGGCUUACCCUGGGGCAAAGCAGCGAACGGGUGAGUAACACGUGGGUAACCUACCCCGAUAACCGGGACAACCCGAGGAAACUCGGGCUAAUACCGGAUGUGCUCACUGGACUUCGGUUCAGUGCGUAAAGGAAGCUUCGGCCUCCGUAUCGGGAGGGGCCCGCGGCCCAUUAGUUAGUUGGUGAGGUAACGGCUCACCAAGACCGCGAUGGGUAGCUGGUCUGAGAGGACGAUCAGCCACACUGGGACUGAGACACGGCCCAGCCUCCUACGGGAGGCGGCAGUGGGGAAUCUUGCGCAAUGCGCGAAAGCGUGACGCAGCAACGCCGCGUGGGGGAAGAAGGCCUUCGGGUUGUAAACCCCUUUCAGGAGGGACGAAGGUUCGGCGGUGAAUAGCCGUCCGGACUGACGGUACCUGCACAAGAAGCCCCGGCUAACUACGUGCCAGCAGCCGCCGUAA
This 509-nucleotide ribosomal RNA is filed under the name uncultured bacterium. RNAcentral describes it as "partial 16S ribosomal RNA". It matches the Rfam family "Bacterial small subunit ribosomal RNA", at positions 28 to 523 of the family's 1533-position model. The record is from RNAcentral.